ACGGGAUGGUUUGGCACCUCGAUGUCGGCUCGUCGCAUCCUGGGGCUGGAGUUGGUCCCAAGGGUUGGGCUGUUCGCCCAUUAAAGCGGCACGCGAGCUGGGUUUAGAACGUCGUGAGACAGUUCGGUCUCUAUCCGCCGCGCGCGUGGAAACUUGUGGAAGGCUGUCCCUAGUACGAGAGGACCGGGAUGGACGUACCUCUGGUGUGCCAGUCAUUCUGCCAUGGGUGUUGCUGGUUGGCUAUGUGCGGGAGGGAUAACCGCUGAAAGCAUCUAAGCGGGAAGCCUGUUCCGAGAUGAGGUUUCUUUUGAGGUGUCCUAGAGAUGAUGGGGUUGAUAGGCCGGGGCUGGAAGCUCUGUGAAGGGGUGUUGAGGUGACCGGUACUAAUUCACCGACUCGAAAACACUU
This 408-nucleotide non-coding RNA is filed under the name Corynebacterium otitidis ATCC 51513. RNAcentral describes it as "Turicella otitidis ATCC 51513 Bacterial large subunit ribosomal RNA". It matches the Rfam family "Bacterial large subunit ribosomal RNA", at positions 2508 to 2925 of the family's 2925-position model. Lineage: Bacteria; Bacillati; Actinomycetota; Actinomycetes; Mycobacteriales; Corynebacteriaceae. The record is from Rfam by way of RNAcentral.